Molecule: unclassified non-coding RNA, 268 nt
Filed under: uncultured Lactarius
Lineage: Eukaryota; Fungi; Basidiomycota; Agaricomycetes; Russulales; Russulaceae
Description: sequence contains ITS2
Source: RNAcentral
AAAUCUCAACCUCCUUGGUUUCUUCUGGAGAUCAAAGGAGGCUUGGACUUUGGAGGCCUUUGCUGGCAUCUCUCUCCUUUGAAAGGUGGCCAGCUCCUCUUGAAUGAAUUAGCGGGGUCCUCUUUGCCGAUCCUUGACAUGUGAUAAGAUGUUUCCGUGUCUCGGUUUCUGGCUCUGUUGCUUUUGGGACCUGCUUCCAACCGUCUCGACGUCGAGACAAUGUUCGAGCCUGUUGCCCUUCUUGGGAAACGCUCUCGACCCCACGAAC